GAAAGGCCUGCCGCUGUGCUCGCGUGAGUACUCGAGUCGCGCGAACGGGUGAGUAACACGUGGGUGAUCUGCCUUGCACUUCGGGAUAAGCUUGGGAAACUGGGUCUAAUACCGGAUAGGACAGCUGUUUAGUGUCAGUUGUGGAAAGUUUUUUCGGUGCAAGAUGAGCUCGCGGCCUAUCAGCUUGUUGGUGGGGUAAUGGCCUACCAAGGCGUCGACGGGUAGCCGGCCUGAGAGGGUGUACGGCCACAUUGGGACUGAGAUACGGCCCAGACUCCUACGGGAGGCAGCAGUGGGGAAUAUUGCACAAUGGGCGGAAGCCUGAUGCAGCGACGCCGCGUGGGGGAUGAAGGCCUUCGGGUUGUAAACUCCUUUCGACAGGGACGAAGCGUAAGUGACGGUACCUGUAUAAGAAGCACCGGCUAACUACGUGCCAGCAGCCGCGGUAAUACGUAGGGUGCGAGCGUUGUCCGGAAUUACUGGGCGUAAAGAGCUCGUAGGUGGUUUGUCGCGUCGUCUGUGAAAUUCCGGGGCUUAACUCCGGGCGUGCAGGCGAUACGGGCUGACUUGAGUGCUGUAGGGGAGACUGGAAUUCCUGGUGUAGCGGUGAAAUGCGCAGAUAUCAGGAGGAACACCGAUGGCGAAGGCAGGUCUCUGGGCAGUAACUGACGCUGAGGAGCGAAAGCAUGGGUAGCGAACAGGAUUAGAUACCCUGGUAGUCCAUGCCGUAAACGGUGGGCGCUAGGUGUAGGGGGCUUCCACGUCUUCUGUGCCGUAGCUAACGCAUUAAGCGCCCCGCCUGGGGAGUACGGCCGCAAGGCUAGAACUCAAAGGAAUUGACGGGGGCCCGCACAAGCGGCGGAGCAUGUGGAUUAAUUCGAUGCAACGCGAAGAACCUUACCUGGGCUUGACAUAUACAAGACAGGCGUAGAGAUACGUCCUCCCUUGUGGGUUGUAUACAGGUGGUGCAUGGUUGUCGUCAGCUCCGGUCGUGAGAUGUUGGGUAAAUCCCCCCAACGAGCGCCACCCUUGUCUUAUGUUGCCAGCAUUUGGGUUGGGAACUCAUGAAAAACUGCCCGGGCCCACUCGCCAGAAAAGUGAGGGAUGACGUCAAAUACAUCAUGCCCCUUAUGGCCAGGGCUUCCCACUUGGUAACAAUGGUCGGUAAAACGCGGAG
This 1177-nucleotide ribosomal RNA is filed under the name Corynebacterium striatum. RNAcentral describes it as "bacterial SSU rRNA". It matches the Rfam family "Bacterial small subunit ribosomal RNA", at positions 63 to 1249 of the family's 1533-position model. The record is from RNAcentral. Lineage: Bacteria; Bacillati; Actinomycetota; Actinomycetes; Mycobacteriales; Corynebacteriaceae.